RNAcentral lists this ribosomal RNA (770 nucleotides) under Kocuria rosea. RNAcentral's name for it is "bacterial SSU rRNA". It matches the Rfam family "Bacterial small subunit ribosomal RNA", at positions 63 to 842 of the family's 1533-position model. Lineage: Bacteria; Bacillati; Actinomycetota; Actinomycetes; Micrococcales; Micrococcaceae. The record is from RNAcentral.
CGAACGAUGAUGCCCAGCUUGCUGGGCGGAUUAGUGGCGAACGGGUGAGAAAUACGUGAGUAACCUGCCCUUGACUCUGGGAUAAGCCUGGGAAACUGGGUCUAAUACUGGAUACUACCGCUUACCGCAUGGUGGGUGGUGGAAAGGGUUUUACUGGUUUUGGAUGGGCUCACGGCCUAUCAGCUUGUUGGUGGGGUAAUGGCUCACCAAGGCGACGACGGGUAGCCGGCCUGAGAGGGUGACCGGCCACACUGGGACUGAGACACGGCCCAGACUCCUACGGGAGGCAGCAGUGGGGAAUAUUGCACAAUGGGCGGAAGCCUGAUGCAGCGACGCCGCGUGAGGGAUGACGGCCUUCGGGUUGUAAACCUCUUUCAGUAGGGAAGAAGCGAGAGUGACGGUACCUGCAGAAGAAGCGCCGGCUAACUACGUGCCAGCAGCCGCGGUAAUACGUAGGGCGCAAGCGUUGUCCGGAAUUAUUGGGCGUAAAGAGCUCGUAGGCGGUUUGUCGCGUCUGCUGUGAAAGCCCGGGGCUCAACCCCGGGUCUGCAGUGGGUACGGGCAGACUAGAGUGCAGUAGGGGAGACUGGAAUUCCUGGUGUAGCGGUGAAAUGCGCAGAUAUCAGGAGGAACACCGAUGGCGAAGGCAGGUCUCUGGGCUGUUACUGACGCUGAGGAGCGAAAGCAUGGGGAGCGAACAGGAUUAGAUACCCUGGUAGUCCAUGCCGUAAACGUUGGGCACUAGGUGUGGGGGACAUUCCACGUUUUCC